AUUGAACGCUGGCGGCAUGCUUUACACAUGCAAGUCGAACGGCAGCGCGGGCUUCGGCCUGGCGGCGAGUGGCGAACGGGUGAGUAAUGCAUCGGAACGUGCCCAGUAGUGGGGGAUAGCCCGGCGAAAGCCGGAUUAAUACCGCAUACGACCUGAGGGUGAAAGCGGGGGACCGAAAGGCCUCGCGCUAUUGGAGCGGCCGAUGUCGGAUUAGCUAGUUGGUGGGGUAAAGGCUUACCAAGGCGACGAUCCGUAGCUGGUCUGAGAGGACGACCAGCCACAUUGGGACUGAGCCACGGCCCAGACUCCUACGGGAGGCAGCAGUGGGGAAUGUUGGACAAUGGGGGCAACCCUGAUCCAGCCAUGCCGCGUGCGGGAAGAAGGCCUUCGGGUUGUAAACCGCUUUUGUUCGGGAAGAAAUCCUCUGGGCUAAUACCCCGGGGGGAUGACGGUACCGGAAGAAUAAGCACCGGCUAACUACGUG
RNAcentral lists this ribosomal RNA (484 nucleotides) under uncultured bacterium. RNAcentral describes it as "partial 16S ribosomal RNA". It matches the Rfam family "Bacterial small subunit ribosomal RNA", at positions 28 to 507 of the family's 1533-position model. The record is from RNAcentral.